RNAcentral lists this ribosomal RNA (464 nucleotides) under uncultured bacterium. RNAcentral's name for it is "partial 16S ribosomal RNA". It matches the Rfam family "Bacterial small subunit ribosomal RNA", at positions 28 to 507 of the family's 1533-position model. The record is from RNAcentral.
GAUGAACGCUGGCGGCGUGCUUAACACAUGCAAGUCGAACGGAAAGGCUCCUGCUUGCAGGGGUACUCGAGUGGCGAACGGGUGAGUAACACGUGGGUGAUCUGCCCUGCACUUCGGGAUAAGCCUGGGAAACUGGGUCUAAUACCGGAUAGGACGAUGGUUUGGAUGCCAUUGUGGAAAGUUUUUCGGUGUGGGAUGAGCUCGCGGCCUAUCAGCUUGUUGGUGGGGUAAUGGCCUACCAAGGCGUCGACGGGUAGCCGGCCUGAGAGGGUGUACGGCCACAUUGGACUGAGAUACGGCCCAGACUCCUACGGGAGGCAGCAGUGGGGAAUAUUGCACAAUGGGCGCAAGCCUGAUGCAGCGACGCCGCGUGGGGGAUGACGGCCUUCGGGUUGUAAACUCCUUUCGCUAGGGACGAAGCGCAAGUGACGGUACCUGGAGAAGAAGCACCGGCUAACUACGUG